AUUCCAGCUCCAAUAGCGUAUAUUAAAGUUGUUGCAGUUAAAACGCUCGUAGUUGGAUUUCUGGCGUGAGGCGACUGUUCCUAGGCUCUAUGCCUAGUGUAACAGAUCGCCUCGGCCAUCCUUCUGGAAAACGGCCCUGCUCUUCAUUGAGUUGGGGUCGGGAUCCAGAUCUUUUACUUUGAAAAAAUUAGAGUGUUUAAAGCAGGCUUAUGCCUUGAAUACAUUAGCAUGGAAUAAUAAUUUAGGACUUUGGUUCUAUUUUGUUGGUUUCUAGAACUGAAGUAAUGAUUGAUAGGGAUAGUUGGGGUGCUAGUAUUCAGCGGCCAGAGGUGAAAUUCUUGGAUUCGCUGAAGACUAACUUAUGCGAAAGCAUUCACCAAGGAUGUCUUCAUUA
RNAcentral lists this ribosomal RNA (394 nucleotides) under Thaumatomastigidae sp. Its description in RNAcentral is "partial small subunit ribosomal RNA". It matches the Rfam family "Eukaryotic small subunit ribosomal RNA", at positions 582 to 975 of the family's 1831-position model. The record is from RNAcentral. Lineage: Eukaryota; Cercozoa; Imbricatea; Thaumatomonadida; Thaumatomastigidae.